UGGGCCGGGCCCCGUGCUUACACAUGCAAGUCGAACGGAAAGGCCCUUCGGGGUACUCGAGUGGCGAACGGGUGAGUAACACGUGGGUGAUCUGCCCUGCACUUUGGGAUAAGCCUGGGAAACUGGGUCUAAUACCGAAUAGGAUCAUGCUCUUCAUGGGGUGUGGUGGAAAGCUUUUGCGGUGUGGGAUGGGCCCGCGGCCUAUCAGCUUGUUGGUGGGGUAAUGGCCUACCAAGGCGACGACGGGUAGCCGGCCUGAGAGGGUGACCGGCCACACUGGGACUGAGAUACGGCCCAGACUCCUACGGGAGGCAGCAGUGGGGAAUAUUGCACAAUGGGCGCAAGCCUGAUGCAGCGACGCCGCGUGAGGGAUGACGGCCUUCGGGUUGUAAACCUCUUUCACCAGGGACGAAGCGCAAGUGACGGUACCUGGAGAAGAAGCACCGGCCAACUACGUGCCAGCAGCCGCGGUAAUACGUAGGGUGCGAGCGUUGUCCGGAAUUACUGGGCGUAAAGAGCUCGUAGGUGGUUUGUCGCGUUGUUCGUGAAAACUCACAACUCAAUUGUGGGCGUGCGGGCGAUACGGGCAGACUAGAGUACUGCAGGGGAGACUGGAAUUCCUGGUGUAGCGGUGGAAUGCGCAGAUAUCAGGAGGAACACCGGUGGCGAAGGCGGGUCUCUGGGCAGUAACUGACGCUGAGGAGCGAAAGCGUGGGGAGCGAACAGGAUUAGAUACCCUGGUAGUCCACGCCGUAAACGGUGGGUACUAGGUGUGGGUUCCUUCCUUGGGAUCCGUGCCGUAGCUAACGCAUUAAGUACCCCGCCUGGGGAGUACGGCCGCAAGGCUAAAACUCAAAGGAAUUGACGGGGGCCCGCACAAGCGGCGGAGCAUGUGGAUUAAUUCGAUGCAACGCGAAGAACCUUACCUGGGUUUGACAUGCACAGGACGCCGGCAGAGAUGUCGGUUCCCUUGUGGCCUGUGUGCAGGUGGUGCAUGGCUGUCGUCAGCUCGUGUCGUGAGAUGUUGGGUUAAGUCCCGCAACGAGCGCAACCCUUGUCCUAUGUUGCCAGCGGGUUAUGCCGGGGACUCGUAGGAGACUGCCGGGGUCAACUCGGAGGAAGGUGGGGAUGACGUCAAGUCAUCAUGCCCCUUAUGUCCAGGGCUUCACACAUGCUACAAUGGCCGGUACAAAGGGCUGCGAUGCCGUGAGGUGGAGCGAAUCCUUUCAAAGCCGGUCUCAGUUCGGAUCGGGGUCUGCAACUCGACCCCGUGAAGUCGGAGUCGCUAGUAAUCGCAGAUCAGCAACGCUGCGGAAUCGCUCA
RNAcentral lists this ribosomal RNA (1323 nucleotides) under Mycolicibacterium aubagnense. RNAcentral's name for it is "bacterial SSU rRNA". It matches the Rfam family "Bacterial small subunit ribosomal RNA", at positions 30 to 1374 of the family's 1533-position model. Lineage: Bacteria; Bacillati; Actinomycetota; Actinomycetes; Mycobacteriales; Mycobacteriaceae. The record is from RNAcentral.